RNAcentral lists this long non-coding RNA (1441 nucleotides) under Numida meleagris (helmeted guineafowl). RNAcentral describes it as "lncRNA (ENSNMEG00000017153.1)". Lineage: Eukaryota; Metazoa; Chordata; Aves; Galliformes; Numididae. The record is from RNAcentral.
CUGAACUACAGCUUAGGUAGCUUCACACAAACUCCUUUUAUCAUGGAUAUGAAAGCAAAAGAGAAAAGAAUGAGUAAAGCUUGCCCUGAUGGCAUGAGGCUCUUUACUUUUCUCUGCAAAUGUUGGGCAGAGCUCGAGCAGGCGGUAAUUGAUGGCUUGCACCUGGGGCUGCUCGUAGGCUCCUUUAGAAACACGUGUCUCUUUUAUGUUCAUGGGCAAGCAUGGAAGGGUGCUGAGAGCCAGUGCCUGUCACUGUCACCUCCUGCACCUUUACAGGAGCUCUCCAGAGACCUGGGCAUCCAUAGCGUUGACAGCAGCAGCAUUUUUCAUGGUGAUGUCUUUGUACCUACGGGGAGAGCAGAAAAAGAUGAGACUGCGUGGCUGAAUGUGGAUGCUUCUGUGAAGACAGCUGAUUCUCUUCCAGAUCACUUGAAUUUGUGACUGUUGUCCAAGACGGCCUUGAUUAUGGCAAAGAGGGGGCAAGGGUAGGGUCACAGCUCCCCCUCCCUCAGCCUGAAUCCCCAGAAAGUGCUAUGGGGUUAACCCUUGGUUACACCUUCUGGCAUUUUUUUCAGUUGAGCAGAGUGUUGCAAGUAAUCAGGAUUGUGUUUUGAUCUGCUUCUCUCUUUGCUUGGUCAUAGUUAUCUGUUGUUUAAGAGGAUUUUUAAUAUAUUUUAAUAUUUGCUUAUUAACUACAAAUAAUAUUUAAUACUGUGCUGAGAAGACAGAAAUACUGAGUUAUUCAAAGUGUGAUUUUGCAUCCUGAAGGAGCAGAGCCUGGCAGAGGGUCACAGAACUGGGCAGUGAGAUUUGCCUCUCAGCAGUGGAGCACCAAAGCACCCCAGGGGCUUAGAGAGAGCAGGGUGCAUGAUACCACUUAAUGCCUUCCAGACACAGGGCAUGGCUUUGUAGAAAAGGGCUGGCAGGGACUGAUGGUCUUAUCUGUGUAAAACGCCAUCACAGACAUUGGCAUGUUCUUGGUUUUUCAUUGCAUGCGCUGUCUAAUGGGCAGAUGGCUGUGGAUUUUUGUUCUCUCCCAAGCAAUCCCUGUGGGUUUUCUGCAGAAGUGGUCACCAGUGAGACAGCAUGUUGUAAUUCCUUCUGCUGGCUUGAACAGGGAGACAUCUAACAUUGCGAUGACAGGUUAACUGAGAGAUCAUCUGAGAACUUGUUUAAAAAUUGAAUACUGCUGAAGUCUAGCUUGUUACAUGAGUUGAGUGAACAUGGCCCUUUUGUGCUGACAUGGACUUUACCACUGUUCUAACAUAAAGAAAAACAGGAUCUUUAUAUGAAAAUACUUCCUUUACCAGAUGUCCAAAUUGUACAAGUAAUUUCAGUACAUUAUAUGUAAAUAUAACAGGUAUGGUGGGCAGAACAAGGGAGAGAACAAUUUCGAGAUGUUUAGCCAUUCAGCUUGAGAGAACAUUGUAUGAAGAGCAAC